RNAcentral lists this small RNA (139 nucleotides) under Desulfosporosinus sp. RNAcentral describes it as "c-di-AMP sequence". It matches the Rfam family "c-di-AMP riboswitch aptamer (ydaO/yuaA leader)". From Rfam's summary of the family: This family represents a conserved RNA structure found upstream of the ydaO and yuaA genes in Bacillus subtilis and related genes in other bacteria. The ydaO/yuaA element is thought to act as a genetic "off" switch for the ydaO and yuaA genes in its native state. It is believed that the element may be triggered during osmotic shock leading to activation of ydaO, a predicted amino acid transporter gene, and members of the yuaA-yubG operon which code for KtrA and KtrB K+ transporters. RNAcentral also lists the same sequence under 1 other name. Lineage: Bacteria; Bacillati; Bacillota; Clostridia; Eubacteriales; Desulfitobacteriaceae. The record is from RNAcentral.
ACAAAAUGAAAGCUGAAUCCAGAUCUACCUGGAGCGGGGGACUUUUUUUAUGGGGUGAAACGCGUAGCCAUACGCGUCGGGCUUGCACCUUAAUGCCCGAAUCCGUCAACUAACCUCGCAAGCUAUGAAAGGUGAAAAA